AGAACGAACGCUGGCGGCGAUGCCUAACACAUGCAAGUCGAACGAGACCUUCGGGUCUAGUGGCGCACGGGUGCGUAACGCGUGGGAAUCUGCCCUUGGGUUCGGAAUAACAGCGAGAAAUUGCUGCUAAUACCGGAUGAUGACGUAAGUCCAAAGAUUUAUCGCCCAAGGAUGAGCCCGAGUAGGACUUAGCUUAGUUGGUGAGGUAAGAGCCUCGACCGAAGGCGAACGAUACCUUAGACGUGGU
This 247-nucleotide ribosomal RNA is filed under the name uncultured soil bacterium. Its description in RNAcentral is "partial 16S ribosomal RNA". It matches the Rfam family "Bacterial small subunit ribosomal RNA", at positions 26 to 293 of the family's 1533-position model. The record is from RNAcentral.